ACAGAUUUAAACGUUAACGAUCACAUAUCACGUUCUGAUUGAACAUGAAAAAAUACGUCCAAAAAUUAAUUUUAAUAUUUUUUUGUUUAUCGUCCAAUCAAAACGUGACAUCUGACCGUCAACGUUU
Molecule: non-coding RNA, 127 nt
Organism: Glycine soja
Lineage: Eukaryota; Viridiplantae; Streptophyta; Magnoliopsida; Fabales; Fabaceae
Source: Rfam